Long non-coding RNA from Sinocyclocheilus anshuiensis, 79 nucleotides. RefSeq lists it as uncharacterized. The record is from RefSeq and is a predicted model, not a curated record. The transcript is spliced from 3 exons. Lineage: Eukaryota; Metazoa; Chordata; Actinopteri; Cypriniformes; Cyprinidae.
UCAUAGGUGACCUAUUUUGAUCUCGAAAAGGUGAGUUUUCACCGAAAGGUGAGGAGUUUGCAUCACAUGAGAAACACUC